UUUUACGUCAUUGAAUCAUAAUCGUGGAAGGAAUUGUAGUUCCAAGUUAACAAAGUACACCUUAUUUAUAAUAGUUUAACGGGAACUUAACUUUCCUAAAAAACAGUGUUAUUAAAAAAUAUUUAUGUGAUAUCAAAAAAUGCUUUAUGUUGCUGUUUUGGGAGAUUUGUAUUUUAAUUUCGAUUAAAAUUGUUUGAAAAUAUUUUUCACUGAAACUUGCGCUGUAAUUAACCUGGUGGUUAAAGUUAUAAUUAAAGCACAUUUUUUGAGUAGAACAUUUGUAGUUCAUUAUCUCUUGAUAAAAUCAGUUAUGCCCAUCACAGUUAAAUAUACAUGUAGGCAGUAAAAAUUGAGAUAUAUAAAUUGCCUGCUAGGAAUAAGGUAGAACGAAAUGUAUUUACUCUUGCAACAGAAAAAUAUUGUUUUCAUUGCUGACAAAUAAGAGUGCAAGGAAAUAUUAUAGUUUCAAUGAUAUAAAUAGUUAACACAGUAAGAUGAUAACUAGGAAUUGUUCGGCGUCGACGACGUGACAGACGGCAAUGUCAUUGCCAGAGGAUUCGCUACGGCCGCGGCCGUUGAAACUCGUCGUGUCCGGGAAGUUGGUCCAUUAGCUCUUAACAUUCUCGCGUUAACGCCGUUUAUUACGUGGGCGUAACGUAAUACCUUCGCGUGGACCAUUUUAUCAGACGGCACAUACUUCCAAGUAUCUAAGUAGACGUUACGACAUCAAUUAUUGGAAUUGUCAGCAACCAAGUGAUAAAACAUGUCAAAUAAUGGUACCAUCUUCGGGUGUGUUAGAAGGAGCUUCGAAGGCUUUUGCACCAUUUAACUGUAUUUUGUUCUGCACCUUAAUCACGUCGCGACAUCCAAUAGAAAUAUCUUUAUUGGACAGUGAUAUCAUUAAUUGUGGGACUUCAUUAUUAUAGAAUUUCAAUAAGAAUGUCAAGAAUGACUAAUAGUAAGGAAGUAUUGGUAGUACGUUAUGUACGAUACGUUAUGUUACGUACGGUAGUACGAUUGGAAAAUAAUAAAAGAUAAUUGAUUUUGACUUCGCCUAAGCUGUGUAAUAAUCUAAAAACGUGGUUUGUCAGGUGAAUGUUAGUUUCAAAUAAAUUGAGAUAUUUCUAUAUUAUCUUCAUCGUUCGAAAAUAAAUUAUUCAAACAUUAUUAUCAUAAUAUGAAUAAUGUCCCAAAUGUCCCAAAUUUUUUAUAAAUGCAGCUUUUAGCAAUAUUCUUGAAAUAUUAUCUUCAUUUUUGUUAUCACACCUUGAUUCGUUAACGCUGUAAAGUAUUUGAACAUAUCAAAAUACAUAUUGAUUUAUGAAUCACUAAGCCAAAAACGACGAUAUAACUCGAUACAAUUUUAUGACACGUAUAUUCAGUAAAAAUAUAUAGAGCAAAAAUAAUAAUACACAUACAUAAAAUAGGGAAUUGCAAGCUUCGUAACAAAGAGAAUCUCAUUCAUGAAUUUUAUUAAAUGACUGUGUUGUAAGCAUUUGCGUGUAUAAAAUUAUACUUACUUAAACGAUGAUUGGAUGAAAACAAUCUACGAUAAGCGUAAUAGUAUUGUAUCAUGUUAUCAUUUGUGUAUUUCUACGAAUUAUAAAUCCUCUAUUGAAUCAUUACAUUAGCUUGAAUUUUACGUACAAAAAUCUGCACUUAAUCCAAUUAUUCUAUUUACUGAGAAAACAUGGGUCUCAACUAAAUUGACCCUCUU
Molecule: long non-coding RNA, 1717 nt
Organism: Bombus terrestris (buff-tailed bumblebee)
Lineage: Eukaryota; Metazoa; Arthropoda; Insecta; Hymenoptera; Apidae
Exons: 3
Source: RefSeq, a predicted model, not a curated record